Molecule: long non-coding RNA, 910 nt
Organism: Drosophila busckii
Lineage: Eukaryota; Metazoa; Arthropoda; Insecta; Diptera; Drosophilidae
Exons: 3
Source: RefSeq, a predicted model, not a curated record
UCAUUGUGGUUUUUAAUUCUACAUUUAAAAAUCUGACAAAAAGUGAAAAUUUAAUAUAAUUGUGGCUGCUAUAAAACAAAUAAUUGGAAAAAUAUAAACAGAGGUCAACCCCGAGUGCGCAACAAACGUGGCCAGCACUUUAAUCAAGACGCGCGCAAAUUUUUUAACUACUGCAGCUUUGAGGCGCCAGCGCAUAAUUGAAUCAUAAGGACGCAGGGUCGAGACGCUCGGCGAGGCGCGGCGACGGCAAAGUUCGGCAGCUGCUGCUGCGGGGGCAAUGUUAACAAAGCCAAGCGAAUAAUUGUUGCAAACUGCUGCGAGAGAGAGACAGAGGGAGGCAGAGAGAGCGCGCGGAAUGGCAGCUGAGAAAUGACAGCAGUGUUGCUUUAAUUAAAGUCUCGGCGCGCAGUAGAAUGAGCAGGCGGAGCAGGCGCCACUCCCACCCAGCGGCAAGCGAAAGGAAAUUGAAACGCAAUGAACAACAGCAACAACAACAACAAACAGCAGAAGGACGACAACAACAGAGAAAAGUGGACGAAAUUGCUUUUGGAACUGAACGAGCAUCAUUUCAUACAUUUUGAUUACAUUUACCUAUUACAAGCAGCAGCAGCAGCCAGUUGCAACAAGGAAGAAGAAGAAGCAGCGACAGCAAAUAAAAAGAAACUUGGCAGGCAUUUGCUGUAAUAAUUUGUUAAAAUUGUAACGAGCGAGCAGGCAAAGUAUUAAACGAAAGUGUGAGGAUAUCAGCAACAGCUACAGAUGAACGCGCUGAAGUCGCCGCCAGCAGCAACAGCAACAGGGACAGCGACAGCGACAGUGACAGCGACAGCGACAGCGACAGUUGCACUGUAAGCAGAGACAACUGAAGUUGCAGCCAAGCGGCAAGUUCUGCCAGUGUCAGGCUAUAACA